UCUCCUCCUCCUCCUCCUCCUCCUCCUCCUCUUCACCCUCUCCCUCAGUAGCUCACCAACCGUCAAAGGGAGAGGAUGCACGCCGCUCUCUCUCCCGCCGGCUUUUAACAUUAAUCAAAAUAUCUCCUUAAAUAACGAUAAUAGUAAUAGUUUCGAUAGAUAGAAGGUUGACUAACGAACUAUUACAUCUAUUAAAAACUAUUACGAUCGGUGUUUACGUGGAAAUCGGGAAAGUUUACAAGGAGGAGAAGACAAAGAAGACAAGUUUUUAGAUUAACAGGAAAAAAGGAAGAAAAAGUUAGAAAAAGA
Molecule: long non-coding RNA, 309 nt
Organism: Eriocheir sinensis (Chinese mitten crab)
Lineage: Eukaryota; Metazoa; Arthropoda; Malacostraca; Decapoda; Varunidae
Exons: 2
Source: RefSeq, a predicted model, not a curated record